CACGGAUAGGAGUGGGAGUAGACUGCUUCCUUUGGAUUUUGCUUUCUUUUGAGCUGAAAAAGGAAAAAUACUGCAACGUUUGAAUGUCUCAACAUUUUCCUCAAAGUUAAAGCCACGGAGAUGAACAGAUUUUCCAAAUUCGACCCAUUCUUUAAGUCCCCUUACAUGCCCUGAUGAUGAGGUGAACACAAACCAGAUGAAUGAGCAGUAGGAGCACAGAGGCUGCCUGCCUGAGGCUACCCUUUUGAAGGACCACUUGAAGACAGCUGAGUGCUGGCCAGGUGAUGAAUAGAGAAGGGUGUUCUCCAUCAAAGAUCGUUUAUUAAAAUGCAAAUAAACUUCAGACUGAAGGUCCAUUUGAGCACUGAAAAUUGACAGAGAAUAUUAAAUUUGGUCAGAAGAACAGAGGAGCUGAAUUCUUUUCUGGGGGGAGCCAACAUCAUCCUGCAUCACAAACACUGCUCACUCCUCUCACUGAGAGACAUUUAUUGGUGGCUUAUGGUACUGCCCCAAACUCUGUGCAACCAGAGCGGACAUUUCCCAUGCCAGGUCUCUUUCCUCUUUGGAAAAGUUCAGUCAGACCAGGCCAGCCACUUCUGAGGAAGAAAUAAAAGCUAAAAUGUUAAGUGAAAUAGCAGGUUAAUAAGAUUUCAGUAAAAACUGACAGUGAAAGUAAAAAUGUUGCCAAGUUCACAAGGACCUUUUCUGGAACAUCCUGGGAUAUUUGGGAGCCCCCACCUCUGCCUGUGGGAUCUGUGCUGAGGAGAACUCAAGGCUGGGCUGGGCUUCGCUUCACACCUGACCACAUCUGAAACACCAGUGGCCUGAUGAUCUGGGCAAGGACCUCUCAAGCCCAGCAGGGAGACUCUGAAGUACCACAGACUUCACACAGUGCUUGACUACAAAACACUACCAAGGGCUGCAGGUGAGGCUGGACAAGCCCAUGGAAGAGGGAUCUCUGGAGACUUGCUCUGUAGCAAUGGCACUCGCUUGUGCUGAGCAUGGAUGGAGUUUGGGAAGGUCUUCUGGAAGAGCUGGCCUCCCCACACACCUCGAGUCUACCCACAUGCCAAGUCCCAUGGGGCCUGGAUCUGCUCCUUGGCAGGUUGCUCUUGCUGGAGUGGGGAUUUUCCCCUCUGUCCCCUGAUCUCAGCAGUCCUCCACUGAAGGCACCACAGAGAACACAUCCCAACUGAAUGGUGGUCAUCAAGCCUGGUCCCUGCUGCUGUAGUUCAGCUUUGUGGCAAAGCCUUCAGGGCCUCUUCAGUGUGA
Strigops habroptila (Kakapo) is the source of this 1272-nucleotide long non-coding RNA. RefSeq lists it as uncharacterized. Lineage: Eukaryota; Metazoa; Chordata; Aves; Psittaciformes; Psittacidae. The record is from RefSeq and is a predicted model, not a curated record. The transcript has 3 exons.